GCAGCAGCAGCAGCCCCCUCCCACACCAAUUCUUUGCUCAGAAAACAAGUUUGUGAUAUUCAGGAGAGAGUCAUCUGAAACUGUAAUGGAGGUUUUGAUUAAGCAGAUGAGGUAAAGUUCUACUUUCUCUUUUUGGUAAAGGAAUUGGAGUUUCAUUAAACACAAAAGCUGAUUACACGGGUACUUCUAUCCCUCAUCCAACAUAGGUAAAAGUAACAUGUUCCAUUUUCUCCUUGAUUUUUCUCAAAUUUUUCGAUUGUAUCUCGUGAAUAACUUUUGUUCUCACGGGUAUAUAAUAAAGUUAGCAAAAUACCUUUAAUCCAAAGUCCACAUAUUUAUUUUUAUUAUUUUAGUAGGUAAAAUUAACGAUCUAGUUUGUUACGAGAAUAGAAAUUAUCCGCAAAAUAUUAACAGAAAAAUAAAAAUUAUAAUGUGUUACAUGGAAGAAAUUGAAAUCACGAAAGGUGUUAAUGGAAUUUAAACCCUUUUGAAAGUAGAAAUCAACUACUAUAAGCAAUAAAUUUCUGCACUGUUUAUUAAGACCAAUAGCUGAUUGAAUUCCCCUACUUUUGUUUCUGACAUUAGAAAUACAGGAAUUGCAGUAAUCUUGUAUAGAAACUUAUUGCUUACUGAAGUGCAGAAUAUAGGGAAAAAGAAAACUAGCUGUGUAGAUAAAUUUGAGCAGAAGAAGUAAAAAAAUAUAUCUGCUUGGAAACUUGCCUUUCACCGUGUGUAAGAUGUUGAUGUCCUUAGGGAUCUGCUGCCAUUUGACUGACCGCUUGUGUCAGGGGACGAUUUUUCUGGUGCCGGACGAGGAACAAUAGGAGAGUCGAGCAGUGUUAGAAACCAAAGGCUACCACCAC
RNAcentral lists this long non-coding RNA (863 nucleotides) under Theobroma cacao (cacao). Its description in RNAcentral is "long non-coding RNA (TCAC_LNC001463)". The record is from RNAcentral. Lineage: Eukaryota; Viridiplantae; Streptophyta; Magnoliopsida; Malvales; Malvaceae.